CGCUAGUAAUCGCGGAUCAGCAUGCCGCGGUGAAUACGUUCCCGGGCCUUGUACACACCGCCCGUCACACCAUGAGAGUCGGGAACACCCGAAGUCCGUAGCCUAACCGCAAGGGGGGCGCGGCCGAAGGUGGGUUCGAUAAUUGGGGUGAAGUCGUAACAAGGUAGC
RNAcentral lists this ribosomal RNA (168 nucleotides) under uncultured bacterium. RNAcentral's name for it is "partial 16S ribosomal RNA". It matches the Rfam family "Bacterial small subunit ribosomal RNA", at positions 1333 to 1500 of the family's 1533-position model. The record is from RNAcentral.